Tachysurus fulvidraco (yellow catfish) is the source of this 611-nucleotide long non-coding RNA. RefSeq lists it as uncharacterized. The transcript has 2 exons. NCBI's taxonomy places the organism in Eukaryota, Metazoa, Chordata, Actinopteri, Siluriformes, Bagridae. The record is from RefSeq and is a predicted model, not a curated record.
GAAAGCAUCCCCUGAUCCCAUUGUAACAUCAACUCGCUGCAAGCAUUUACCUGUUGCUCCUGUUGUAAUGUCAGAUUUUGGAGUCAUCUAUGAAAUUGUAAAUGACUGUAAAUAGCAUUAAGAAUGUGGUGCAAUUCAUGACUUACCAUCUCCACCGGUGAUGAUGGAACAUUCGGAUAUGAUGAAGAUGAAGGUCAGUGUGGAUGCGCGCAUAUCCAGUGUGUCCAAGUUGUCUGAGCUGAAUGUCCUCAUAGAGCUUUCUACACAUUUUAAGAAGUACACUGAUGUGGCAUUGUGUGUGUGUGUGUGUGUGUGUGUGUGUGUGUGUGUGUGUGUGUGUGUGUGUGUGUGUGUGUGUGUGUGGUUGUGUGCGCGCGCUCGCCUUUCUGACUGUGCGCGAAGGAAAAAACUUUCACUUUCUCUUUGGUAACGCGAGCUUGUACUCUUGGAUUAAAAACAAACACGACGCUCCUUCUUUGAAAUUCAUUUUUAGAAUAAGUUUCUCUGUAAUGAGAUCCAAGUCCACACACACACACACACACACACACACACACACACACACACACACACACACACACACACACACACACACACACACACACACACACACA